CCUACGGGAGGCAGCAGUGGGGAAUAUUGCACAAUGGGGGAAACCCUGAUGCAGCGACGCCGCGUGAGCGAUGAAGUAUUUCGGUAUGUAAAGCUCUAUCAGCAGGGAAGAAAAUGACGGUACCUGACUAAGAAGCCCCGGCUAACUACGUGCAAGCAGCCGCGGUAAUACGUAGGGGGCAAGCGUUAUCCGGAUUUACUGGGCGGAAAGGGAGCGUAGACGGUCCUGCAAGCCAGAUGUGAAAGCCCGGGGCUCAACCCCGGGACUGCAUUUGGAACUGUAAGGCUGGAGGGUCGGAGAGGCAGGCGGAAUGCCUGGUGUAGCGGUGAAAUGCGUAGAUAUUAGGAGGAACUCCAGUGGCGAAGGCGGCCUGCUGGACGAUGACUGACGUUGAGGCUCGAAAGCGUGGGGAGCAAACAGGAUUAGAUACCCCUGUAGUC
This 440-nucleotide ribosomal RNA is filed under the name uncultured bacterium. RNAcentral's name for it is "partial 16S ribosomal RNA". It matches the Rfam family "Bacterial small subunit ribosomal RNA", at positions 338 to 795 of the family's 1533-position model. The record is from RNAcentral.